This 655-nucleotide ribosomal RNA is filed under the name Arthrobacter sp. HC100. Its description in RNAcentral is "bacterial SSU rRNA". It matches the Rfam family "Bacterial small subunit ribosomal RNA", at positions 466 to 1119 of the family's 1533-position model. The record is from RNAcentral. Lineage: Bacteria; Bacillati; Actinomycetota; Actinomycetes; Micrococcales; Micrococcaceae.
AAGGUGACGGUACCUGCAGAAGAAGCGCCGGCUAACUACGUGCCAGCAGCCGCGGUAAUACGUAGGGCGCAAGCGUUAUCCGGAAUUAUUGGGCGUAAAGAGCUCGUAGGCGGUUUGUCGCGUCUGCCGUGAAAGUCCGGGGCUCAACUCCGGAUCUGCGGUGGGUACGGGCAGACUAGAGUGAUGUAGGGGAGACUGGAAUUCCUGGUGUAGCGGUGAAAUGCGCAGAUAUCAGGAGGAACACCGAUGGCGAAGGCAGGUCUCUGGGCAUUAACUGACGCUGAGGAGCGAAAGCAUGGGGAGCGAACAGGAUUAGAUACCCUGGUAGUCCAUGCCGUAAACGUUGGGCACUAGGUGUGGGGGACAUUCCACGUUUUCCGCGCCGUAGCUAACGCAUUAAGUGCCCCGCCUGGGGAGUACGGCCGCAAGGCUAAAACUCAAAGGAAUUGACGGGGGCCCGCACAAGCGGCGGAGCAUGCGGAUUAAUUCGAUGCAACGCGAAGAACCUUACCAAGGCUUGACAUGAACCGGAAAGANCUGGAAACAGGUCCCCCACUUGUGGUCGGUUUACAGGUGGUGCAUGGUUGUCGUCAGCUCGUGUCGUGAGAUGUUGGGUUAAGUCCCGCAACGAGCGCAACCCUCGUUCUAUGUUGCC